AGAGUUUGAUCCUGGCUCAGAUUGAACGCUGGCGGCAUGCCUAACACAUGCAAGUCGAACGGAAACGAUGGGAGCUUGCUCCCAGGCGUCGAGUGGCGGACGGGUGAGUAAUACUUAGGAAUCUGCCCAGUAGUGGGGGACAACUCGGGGAAACUCGAGCUAAUACCGCAUACGCCCUACGGGGGAAAGCGGGGGAUCUUCGGACCUCGCGCUAUUGGAUGAGCCUAAGUCGGAUUAGCUUGUUGGUGAGGUAAAAGCUCACCAAGGCGACGAUCCGUAGCUGGUCUGAGAGGACGAUCAGCCACACUGGGACUGAGACACGGCCCAGACUCCUACGGGAGGCAGCAGUGGGGAAUAUUGGACAAUGGGGGCAACCCUGAUCCAGCAAUGCCGCGUGUGUGAAGAAGGCCUGCGGGUUGUAAAGCACUUUCAGUAGAGAAGAAAAGCUUAGGGUUAAUAACCCUGAGUCUUGACGUUACCUACAGAAGAAGCUCCGGCUAACUCCGUGCCAGCAGCCGCGGUAAUACGGAGGGAGCGAGCGUUAAUCGGAAUUACUGGGCGUAAAGCGCGCGUAGGCGGCUUUGUAAGUCGGAUGUGGAAGCCCCGGGCUCAACCCGGGAAUGGCAUUCGAUACUGCAUAACUAGAGUAUGGUAGAGGGAAGUGGAAUUUCCGGUGUAGCGGUGAAAUGCGUAGAUAUCGGAAGGAACACCAGUGGCGAAGGCGACUUCCUGGGCCAAUACUGACGCUAAGGUGCGAAAGCGUGGGGAGCAAACAGGAUUAGAUACCCUGGUAGUCCACGCCGUAAACGAUGAGAACUAGAUGUCGGGAGAAUCUGUCUUUCGGUGUCGCA
This 851-nucleotide ribosomal RNA is filed under the name uncultured deep-sea bacterium. Its description in RNAcentral is "bacterial SSU rRNA". It matches the Rfam family "Bacterial small subunit ribosomal RNA", at positions 8 to 850 of the family's 1533-position model. The record is from RNAcentral.